Molecule: long non-coding RNA, 483 nt
Organism: Gordionus sp. m RMFG-2023
Lineage: Eukaryota; Metazoa; Nematomorpha; Gordioida; Chordodea; Parachordodidae
Exons: 3
Source: RefSeq, a predicted model, not a curated record
UUACCUUUUUAAUGGUCACCGGAAAUGCGACAUCUGAGGAAAUUUAUCGCAUUAUAUUAUCUGGCAUCAUAAAAAAAAUAUGGAAGAAAAAUUUAUGUAGGCUUAUAAACCGAAUGUAAUAUAACAUAAAAGCAAUUUAAAAUUCUGAAGGUCCAAAAAUCACUACAUUCAAAGAGAUCACACGUUUGUGUAACUAUAUUUGCCUUUGUAAAAGACAUUAUACUCCCUGAAAAGAAGAAGGCAAAACGAAACACAGAGCAUGUCGGAACUUCUUUUGAAAAAUAUCAAUAAAAAAAACUAGGAAACAAGAAAGGCACUUCAAAUUUCAAGCGCAUUAUAUCAUUCUCCGGUAAACCCCCCCCCCCCCCGUAGUUACUCCUCUGCCUCUGUGUGAAAAUAAAAAUUAAAUUACAUUUUUAUUUUGUUCAAAUUUUAAGGGUUAAUCGAUAUUUAAAAUACUGAUUUUCACAUAACAUUUUUUAA